GGAGGAAAGCAGGGGAUCGCAAGACCUUGCGCUUUUGGAGCGGCCGAUGUCUGAUUAGCUUGUUGGUAGGGUAAAAGCUUACCAAGGCUUCGAUCAGUAGCUGGUCUGAGAGGACGACCAGCCACACUGGGACUGAGACACGGCCCAGACUCCUACGGGAGGCAGCAGUGGGGAAUUUUGGACAAUGGGGGCAACCCUGAUCCAGCCAUGCCGCGUGAGUGAAGAAGGCCUUCGGGUUGUAAAGCUCUUUCAGCCGGAACGAAACGGUUACGGUUAAUACCCGUGACUACUGACGGUACCGGAAGAAGAAGCACCGGCUAACUACGUGCCAGCAGCCGCGGUAAUACGUAGGGUGCGAGCGUUAAUCGGAAUUACUGGGCGUAAAGCGUGCGCAGGUGGUUUUGUAAGUCAGAUGUGAAAUCCCCGGGCUCAACCUGGGAACUGCGUUUGAAACUACAAAGCUAG
RNAcentral lists this ribosomal RNA (465 nucleotides) under uncultured bacterium. RNAcentral describes it as "bacterial SSU rRNA". It matches the Rfam family "Bacterial small subunit ribosomal RNA", at positions 198 to 644 of the family's 1533-position model. The record is from RNAcentral.